Non-coding RNA from Rattus norvegicus (Norway rat), 623 nucleotides. The record is from the annotation of a RefSeq genome assembly. NCBI's taxonomy places the organism in Eukaryota, Metazoa, Chordata, Mammalia, Rodentia, Muridae.
GAAGAAGAGUACAGGAAGAGGAGGAGGGGGCAAAGAAAGGGCUGGCAGAAAGGCUUGGUGCUUCCGAGGUCACGAAAAGAUCCCUUUUCUAGUUGCCAACUUAGAGUUGAGGAUUUUAGUCCCCAGUGAAGAGGGAGGAGGCGAGAAUGAAAUCCUUGAGUGUUUCACUGGUGGUCCUGUGGCUCCAGCUAAAUGGGGUGAGCAGCCAGCAGAAGGUGCAGCAGAACCCAGAAUCUCUCACUGUUCCAGAGGGAGGCAGGACCUCUCUCAACUGCACUUUCAGUGAUAGUACUUCUCGGUAUUUCGCAUGGUACAGACAACAUCCUGGGAAAGAACCCAAGGAGCUAAUGUCCAUCAUCUCCACUGGUGAAAAGGAAGAGGGCAGAUUCACAAUUCAGCUCAAUAAAGCCAGCCUACAUGUUUUCUUGCACAUCAGAGACUCCCAGCCCAGUGACUCUGCUCUCUACUUGUGUGCAGUGAGCACACAGUGCUCCCCAGGCACCUGCAGCCUGCAUGCAAACCUACUGUGCAGUACCAGCCCUGACAUAGGUCACAGACCACACAGCAGAGACAUUCUGUUUCCAUUCUAUUCUAUAUGCUGUGGGACUUAUAAGCAGGAAUAG